UACGUAGGGGGCUAGCGUUGUCCGGAAUCAUUGGGCGUAAAGCGCGCGUAGGCGGCCCGGUAAGUCCGCUGUAAAAGUCCAGGGCUCAACCCUGGAACGCCGGUGGAUACUGUCGGGCUAGAGUCCGGAAGAGGCGAGUGGAAUUCCUGGUGUAGCGGUGAAAUGCGCAGAUAUCAGGAGGAACACCGGUGGCGAAAGGCGGGUCUCUGGGCCGAUGACUGACGUGAGGAGCGAAAGCGUGGGGAGCGAACAGG
Molecule: ribosomal RNA, 254 nt
Filed under: uncultured bacterium
Lineage: Bacteria
Description: partial 16S ribosomal RNA
Rfam family: Bacterial small subunit ribosomal RNA
Source: RNAcentral